UGGAUUAGGCAUGCAAGUCGAACGAGCCUUCGGGCUAGUGGCGAACGGGUGAGUAACACGUGGGUAACCUGCCUCGUAGUGGGGAAUAACUCGCCGAAAGGCGAGCUAAUACCGCAUAACACCCUCGGUGAGAAUCCGAGAGGUAAAAGCUUUAUGCGCUAUGAGAGGGGCCCGCGGCCGAUUAGCUUGUUGGUGGGGUAACGGCCUACCAAGGCGACGAUCGGUAGCUGGUCUGAGAGGAUGGUCAGCCACACGGGGACUGAGAUACGGCCCCGACUCCUACGGGAGGCAGCAGCUAAGAAUCUUGCGCAAUGGGCGAAAGCCUGACGCAGCAAUUCCGCGUGGGGGACGAAGGCCCUCGGGUCGUAAACCCCUUUUGCGAGGGAAGAAGUUCUGACGGUACCUCGCGAAUAAGACACGGCUAACUACGUGCCAGCAGCCGCGGUA
This 447-nucleotide ribosomal RNA is filed under the name uncultured bacterium. RNAcentral's name for it is "bacterial SSU rRNA". It matches the Rfam family "Bacterial small subunit ribosomal RNA", at positions 45 to 522 of the family's 1533-position model. The record is from RNAcentral.